Molecule: ribosomal RNA, 247 nt
Filed under: uncultured bacterium
Lineage: Bacteria
Description: partial 16S ribosomal RNA
Rfam family: Bacterial small subunit ribosomal RNA
Source: RNAcentral
UGGUGGCGACCGGCGCACGGGUGCGUAACGCGUAUGCAACCUACCUUUAACAGGGGGAUAACACUGAGAAAUUGGUACUAAUACCCCAUAAUAUCAUAGAAGGCAUCUUUUAUGGUUGAAAAUUCCGAUGGUUAGAGAUGGGCAUGCGUUGUAUUAGCUAGUUGGUGGGGUAACGGCUCACCAAGGCGACGAUACAUAGGGGGACUGAGAGGUUAACCCCCCACACUGGUACUGAGACACGGACCGG